Phragmites australis (common reed) is the source of this 886-nucleotide long non-coding RNA. RefSeq lists it as uncharacterized. The transcript is spliced from 3 exons. NCBI's taxonomy places the organism in Eukaryota, Viridiplantae, Streptophyta, Magnoliopsida, Poales, Poaceae. The record is from RefSeq and is a predicted model, not a curated record.
UUUCCCUUCCCUCUUCGAUCAACACCGCCACUCGCCAAGAGACGACCCGCCCUAGCCGAAGUUCUGCCGCCAUCGGCAUCUGAUUCGUCGCUGUCAGCGACAAAGCGAUCGACGCAAUGCCGUGUAUUCCCACGUUGAAGGUGAGAGUUGCUUAUGUUUUUUUUUUUUUUUUUUUUGAGCAAUUUUGGCAGGAUGUGAUCUUCUCCCGUCCGGUGGCCGCCACCUCCCCAAGCAGCCAAAGCACUAGCGUCGCCACCGCCGCUGCGAUCCCAGCAACCAAUACCGCAUCCAUGGCUGCUGCGCUCACUCGCCCGCCGGCUGGCACGGUCCAGUGAUUCGGCCGAAAGAAGACAACGGUUGUCGUGGCCUACACCAAGUUGGGGUGCGAUCUGAUCAAGGUGAAUGGCAUCCCCAUCGAGCUGAUCCAACCCGAGAUGCUCCACAUCAAGGCCUUCGAGCCCAUCAUGCUCACCGGCCGCCAGCACCCAUCCCUUCGGAGUGGACAUGGCGCGUAGGCUUGGGCAUUGUGAGAACUGGAAGCUUUAAUGGACCUGAUAUGGUCAGUGCAUGGCUGGGAAUGAAUUAAUGGAGUUUUACAUAGAUUCAAGCAAUAGCAGUUAAAAUAAUUUGGAGUUUUUGGACCAGGUUCCAACACUGUACUGCUUGCCGAACAAAUCAAAUUUGAAUCAGGCAAACAGAGGAUGUGGUAAUGAUAGUAAAUGAAAAGUUGCAGAUCUAGGAGGAGCCAAUGGUUUGAUUCUAUGCUUUGACAGUGUGCACUUUUUACCAUAUCAUGAUGAAUCAUGUGAGACUUAUUUUGUACUUACAUCAAUUUUAAUCUUGUUUGAUUAGAGUACAAAUGUUAACAAUUCUCAUCUUGUGAAAA